GAGGGUGUAGCUCAGUGGCAGAGCGCGUGCCUAGCAUGCAUGAUGUUUUGGAUUCAAUCCCCAGCACCUCCA
Molecule: transfer RNA, 72 nt
Filed under: Camelus bactrianus (Bactrian camel)
Lineage: Eukaryota; Metazoa; Chordata; Mammalia; Artiodactyla; Camelidae
Also listed under: 2 other names
Rfam family: tRNA
About the family: Transfer RNA (tRNA) molecules are approximately 80 nucleotides in length.
Source: Rfam by way of RNAcentral